Molecule: long non-coding RNA, 1434 nt
Organism: Cyprinus carpio carpio
Lineage: Eukaryota; Metazoa; Chordata; Actinopteri; Cypriniformes; Cyprinidae
Source: Ensembl
AAAACAAGACAAAAAUACUGGGAUAUAUAUAUAUAUAUGUACUGUAUAUAUAGCAUUGAAAAUGAAUGCAAAUUCAUAAUCUGGUCAUGAUUUUAUUUGGUAGAUAAGUAAAUUUUCAUCAUCAUGAUAAUCAUGAUACAAAAGUACUUUGGUACUGUUUUUUAACCACUAGGUACCAUAAUAUAAAAUAUCAUUACUGAAAAAAGUUAUUAAUAAUGAAUAAAUAUUUGAUACUUUCUAAUGUUUAAUUUCUGAUUUGUUUACUGAUAUAUUUAUUUAUUGUUAAAUCUGUUUUUCAUUGAUGAUUCAUCUCAGAAAUAUUUAUUUACAAUACAGUAAAUAAUAAUUAUAAUUAUUAAUAUAAAUUAUAUUAAUAAUAUGUCAUGUUUAAUUAAUGCAAUAAUACAACAAUAUAUUUACAGAUUUUUUGACAAUAUAAUAAAUAAUUAUUAUAGAUAGAUGUGAAUGCUGUGAGUUUUGCUGGAAACACUGACGCUUCUGUUUCCACCUCGUUUGACCUUUGACCUCCACCACCGUCCUGGCGUCUCCUCGAGUGCCGCUUCUCCUCGUUCGUUGCAUAAGAAACAGAACAGAAAUAACAUGAGGUCAGCAGACAGACGCUCGGAUCCUUCUGCAUCUCUCAGACGUCGAGCCUCUGCUAAGAAAACACAGCAAGCUUCAGCAGUUCAGAAGAUUCAUGUGAGAUCAGACGUUCAUCAGCGCGUGAUACUGAUGCUCAGAUGUUUUCUCGGGUGCUGUGAUUAGGAUCUCUUGUCGAUGGACCGGCCCUCUUCUCCUCGGCUGAAAUCCCCUCAGUACGUCCUUCAGUCGCCGUGUGAAAACAACAUCUACAUUUUAUCUUCACGCCAGUGAUUACACACACUCAACUUCCCUAAAGCACUCACACACACAGCUCUUCAUCAGCCCUUCUUCUUUUAUUUUUGCUAUUUACUUUUGCUCGUUUAAGUCUAUUUAAGUCAUGCAAUGAAGAUUGACUUCCUGCAAUAUUUUUCAUUUGCCGCAAGUUUUUUGUGAGGCUACACUGCAACAAAGACCCGUGUGAAAAGUGCUAGUCCCACUAUUAGUUUCGAAGUGUAUUUUUUAUUUUAAGUCAAAAUUUUUAUGUAAAAUAAUUGAAAAAAAUCAUUAUUUUAUUUAAUCCUAAUUAACCUUCAUUAUUUGAUUCUAACCCUAAUCAUAUAUGUAUCAUGUUCUAAAUUUGUAAAUAAAUUUAAUAUGUAAUAUAUAUAUUUGAAUAUAUAUUUAACUAAAAUUUAAAAUCAAGCUAAACAAAUAAGUUAACUAAAAUUAUUAAUUUACAUACACACACAUAUAUAUAUGUAUAGCCCUACAUGUGUGUUUUAUACAUACAUAUAUAUAUAUAUAUAUAUAUAUAUAUAUAUAUAUAUAUAUAUAUAAUUCUAAAUGUUUUAA